Long non-coding RNA from Helianthus annuus (common sunflower), 1886 nucleotides. RefSeq lists it as uncharacterized. The transcript has 2 exons. NCBI's taxonomy places the organism in Eukaryota, Viridiplantae, Streptophyta, Magnoliopsida, Asterales, Asteraceae. The record is from RefSeq and is a predicted model, not a curated record.
CCCUAAUCAGGCACACUCAAACGCCAUAAAUACGCAUAGUGAUCUUCUCUUCUUCCAUCAUUCGUCGUUCUUCUCUAAUGGCUGGACACGUUACCAUCACUGGUUAAGAGCUAAUGAUGAGAAAUACAAUUAUCUUAGCGGAUUUCGGUGAGAUUUCUUUGAAUCAAUGAUCUGAUUGUUACACACACUGAAGCUCUUAAUAAUUUUUUUUUUAAAUUAAAUGGGAUGUAAAUAAUAAUAAUAAUAGCAGUGAUGAGGUAAAACACAUGAGGAUGUGUUUAGGGAAGUGGACAAGACGAUUAAAACCGUUUUGCCGUGAUCCCCAUUUUAAACGACUUCUCCUUCCACUGAGCUUUUUUUUUAUUUUCAUUCCAACUUUUAUUCAAAAAUACAGUUUUCGGACUCAAUUUGCUGCUUAAUGAUUUCGAGUAAUAGUGAAACUGUUACAAAGCAAAAUGAAUAUAUGGUCAUCAAACAAUUUAAGGGUGCUGAAAGUAGUAGAGUAGAGAAGGAGAAAGCACAUCUCAUAAGGAUGAUGAUAAGUAUGUUUUUAAGUUAUUAUUAUUGUUUACCAUUUUUCAAUUAGAAACCUGAGUUAAAAGUUUUUUUCAAGAAGCUUUGGUAAAAAAAGAUAAUGCAGUUGUGAUAUUGGCAGUUCUGCUGCUGGUGGUACGAUGAUACUUGAGUGGUCCGUUAGUAAUUCAAAUUUGCUGUUCAAAAAAAAUAUUCAUGGGUGCAAAGUUGUUGGGCGCUCUCUAGUUGUUUGACUAGGGAGCUGAGAGAACUUGGCUUAGACAGGGAGAGAAAUUAGUUUUUGCAAAUAUAAAUAUAAGUCAAUUAAUUUAAAGUCAAAUUCGGCUCAGUUGAUGAAAUUUGUCUCUGCAGCUACUAAGGAAGUAAUUGGUCUUAGAGAUCUUGCUUUACAACCAUGGUAAUAAUGUAUUAUUUAAUUUGAAGACAUGUAAAUUGUUAGUUAGUGCAGUAGAGUUUCUGAUAUUGGGCUCUUCUUCCCAUUUUAUUUUGACGACAAACCCUUGGCUGUCUGAGCACUAUACCUUUCAUCUUAUUCAUAAGUUUUCCACUGAUUUUUUAAUACUCAGAGUUUAUUCUUUUUAUAAAUUUUGGUUAAGAGCUAAUGAUGAGACAUACAAUUAUCUUAGCGGAUUUCAGUGAGAUUACUUUUAAUCAAUGAUCUGAUUGUUACACACACUGAAGCUCUUCAAUCUCUUUAUUUUAUUAAAUGGGAUGUUAUAGCAAUAAUGAGGUAAAAUAGAAGAUAAGUAGUUAUUUAUUAGGCCACUCGGUGUGGAGUGUCCCCUGGCCGUCAUGGGGUGGCGCCGCCAUAUCCUCCCAAUUCCCUUGGAGUGCCGGUGUCAAGAACAGCAUCCACAAGACGUUGAAGACUUGCCAUGUGAAGACAAAAUAUUGCUCGUUCCAAAUCCACCAUCUGAAAGCUCCGAAUAACCGGUGGGUAAAAUUGAAUUUGGGGUUCUGGGUCUGAUUCUGUUGAGAUUGAAGAUCGAGUGAAGUAAAGAUCUCUGUUGGUUUCCAAAUCAAAAUCUUCUCUGUCACAGUUGCCGGAGAAAGUGAUGGAAAUGGUGAACCAGAUGGCAUCAGUGAUGGUGAACCAUCUGCCAUUUUUGGUGGUGGUUGGUGAUUUUUGGUAGGGAAAAUAAUUAGUUUGGUUUUGAUAGUGUAGGCAACGGCGGUUGGAGAUGGAAGAUGGUGGAGGUUGGAUGAAGGUGGUUGUGCUGUGGUGGUUUUGUGGAGGUGGUGGUGUUUGUAAAGAGAGACUGAAAUUAGUUGGUUCUCUCUAUUUUUUUAAUACUGUUAACUUUUGUUUAAUAUUUUAAAUGAAUAGUUAUGAAAUUGAAUAAAUAAGUGGA